This 1372-nucleotide ribosomal RNA is filed under the name uncultured bacterium. Its description in RNAcentral is "bacterial SSU rRNA". It matches the Rfam family "Bacterial small subunit ribosomal RNA", at positions 28 to 1381 of the family's 1533-position model. The record is from RNAcentral.
GAUGAACGCUGGCGGCGUGCCUAAUACAUGCAAGUCGAGCGAACGGACGAGAAGCUUGCUUCUCUGAUGUUAGCGGCGGACGGGUGAGUAACACGUGGAUAACCUACCUAUAAGACUGGGAUAACUUCGGGAAACCGGAGCUAAUACCGGAUAAUAUUUUGAACCGCAUGGUUCAAAAGUGAAAGACGGUCUUGCUGUCACUUAUAGAUGGAUCCGCGCUGCAUUAGCUAGUUGGUAAGGUAACGGCUUACCAAGGCAACGAUGCAUAGCCGACCUGAGAGGGUGAUCGGCCACACUGGAACUGAGACACGGUCCAGACUCCUACGGGAGGCAGCAGUAGGGAAUCUUCCGCAAUGGGCGAAAGCCUGACGGAGCAACGCCGCGUGAGUGAUGAAGGUCUUCGGAUCGUAAAACUCUGUUAUUAGGGAAGAACAUAUGUGUAAGUAACUGUGCACAUCUUGACGGUACCUAAUCAGAAAGCCACGGCUAACUACGUGCCAGCAGCCGCGGUAAUACGUAGGUGGCAAGCGUUAUCCGGAAUUAUUGGGCGUAAAGCGCGCGUAGGCGGUUUUUUAAGUCUGAUGUGAAAGCCCACGGCUCAACCGUGGAGGGUCAUUGGAAACUGGAAAACUUGAGUGCAGAAGAGGAAAGUGGAAUUCCAUGUGUAGCGGUGAAAUGCGCAGAGAUAUGGAGGAACACCAGUGGCGAAGGCGACUUUCUGGUCUGUAACUGACGCUGAUGUGCGAAAGCGUGGGGAUCAAACAGGAUUAGAUACCCUGGUAGUCCACGCCGUAAACGAUGAGUGCUAAGUGUUAGGGGGUUUCCGCCCCUUAGUGCUGCAGCUAACGCAUUAAGCACUCCGCCUGGGGAGUACGACCGCAAGGUUGAAACUCAAAGGAAUUGACGGGGACCCGCACAAGCGGUGGAGCAUGUGGUUUAAUUCGAAGCAACGCGAAGAACCUUACCAAAUCUUGACAUCCUUUGACAACUCUAGAGAUAGAGCCUCCCCCUUCGGGGGACAAAGUGACAGGUGGUGCAUGGUUGUCGUCAGCUCGUGUCGUGAGAUGUUGGGUUAAGUCCCGCAACGAGCGCAACCCUUAAGCUUAGUUGCCAUCAUUAAGUUGGGCACUCUAAGUUGACUGCCGGUGACAAACCGGAGGAAGGUGGGGAUGACGUCAAAUCAUCAUGCCCCUUAUGAUUUGGGCUACACACGUGCUACAAUGGACAAUACAAAGGGCAGCGAAACCGCGAGGUCAAGCAAAUCCCAUAAAGUUGUUCUCAGUUCGGAUUGUAGUCUGCAACUCGACUACAUGAAGCUGGAAUCGCUAGUAAUCGUAGAUCAGCAUGCUACGGUGAAUACGUUCCCGGGUCU